UUUGGAUUGAAGGGUA
Molecule: small RNA, 16 nt
Filed under: Arabidopsis thaliana (thale cress)
Lineage: Eukaryota; Viridiplantae; Streptophyta; Magnoliopsida; Brassicales; Brassicaceae
Description: ATSL137210
Source: RNAcentral